RNAcentral lists this ribosomal RNA (503 nucleotides) under uncultured bacterium. RNAcentral describes it as "bacterial SSU rRNA". It matches the Rfam family "Bacterial small subunit ribosomal RNA", at positions 36 to 518 of the family's 1533-position model. The record is from RNAcentral.
CUGGCGGCGUGCUUAACACAUGCAAGUCGAACGCGAAAGGGACUUCGGUCCUGAGUAAAGUGGCGCACGGGUGAGUAACGCGUAGAUAACCUGUCUUCAUGUCUGGAAUAAUACGCCGAAAGGGGUACUAAUACCGGAUAUUCUUGCUUUUCAUAAGUUAUGCAAGCAAAGGUGGCCUCUGCAUAUGCUACUGCAUGAAGAGGGGUCUGCGUACCAUUAGCUAGUAGGUGGGGUAAUGGCCUACCUAGGCGACGAUGGUUAGCGGGUCUGAGAGGAUGAUCCGCCACACUGGCACUGGAACACGGGCCAGACUCCUACGGGAGGCAGCAGUGAGGAAUAUUGCGCAAUGGGGGAAACCCUGACGCAGCGACGCCGCGUGAGUGAAGGAAGGCCUUCGGGUCGUAAAGCUCUGCCAAGAGGAAAGAAGUGUACAAUGGCUAAUACCUGUUGUAUUUGACGGUACCUCUAAAGGAAGCACCGGCUAACUCCGUGCCAGCCGCAGC